Molecule: ribosomal RNA, 430 nt
Filed under: uncultured bacterium
Lineage: Bacteria
Description: partial 16S ribosomal RNA
Rfam family: Bacterial small subunit ribosomal RNA
Source: RNAcentral
GUGGGGAAUAUUGCACAAUGGGCGGAAGCCUGAUGCAGCAACGCCGCGUGCGGGAUGACGGCCUUCGGGUUGUAAACCGCUUUCAGCAGGGACGAAGCGCAAGUGACGGUACCUGCAGAAGAAGCACCGGCUAACUACGUGCCAGCAGCCGCGGUGAUACGUAGGGUGCGAGCGUUGUCCGGAUUUAUUGGGCGUAAAGAGCUUGUAGGCGGUUGGUUGCGUCGAAAGUGCAAACUCAGGGCUUAACUCUGAGCCUGCUUUCGAUACGGGCUGACUGGAGGAAGGUAGGGGAGAAUGGAAUUCCCGGUGGAGCGGUGGAAUGCGCAGAUAUCGGGAGGAACACCAGUGGCGAAGGCGGUUCUCUGGACCUUUCCUGACGCUGAGAAGCGAAAGCGUGGGGAGCAAACAGGCUUAGAUACCCCAGUAGUCC